This 90-nucleotide microRNA precursor is filed under the name Bombyx mori (domestic silkworm). RNAcentral describes it as "mir-2807 microRNA precursor family". It matches the Rfam family "mir-2807 microRNA precursor family". The record is from Rfam by way of RNAcentral. Lineage: Eukaryota; Metazoa; Arthropoda; Insecta; Lepidoptera; Bombycidae.
UAAAAGUUAACUCAUAUAUCCAUGAAGUUAGAACGUUUGUCUACGUUUGCCGCUAAGGGCGCUGUUCCAACUCCAUACAAAUUAGAGUUA